CCUACGGGAGGCAGCAGUGGGGAAUAUUGCACAAUGGGCGCAAGCCUGAUGCAGCCAUGCCGCGUGUAUGAAGAAGGCCUUCGGGUUGUAAAGUACUUUCAGCGGGGAGGAAGGGGUUAAGGUUAAUAACCUUAGCCAUUGACGUUACCCGCAGAAGAAGCACCGGCUAACUCCGUGCCAGCAGCCGCGGUAAU
This 194-nucleotide ribosomal RNA is filed under the name uncultured bacterium. Its description in RNAcentral is "partial 16S ribosomal RNA". It matches the Rfam family "Bacterial small subunit ribosomal RNA", at positions 338 to 524 of the family's 1533-position model. The record is from RNAcentral.